This 461-nucleotide ribosomal RNA is filed under the name uncultured bacterium. Its description in RNAcentral is "bacterial SSU rRNA". It matches the Rfam family "Bacterial small subunit ribosomal RNA", at positions 334 to 792 of the family's 1533-position model. The record is from RNAcentral.
CCCUCCUACGGGAGGCAGCAGUGAGGAAUAUUGGUCAAUGGGCUUACGCCUGAACCAGCCAAGUCGCGUGAGGGAAGACUGCCCUAUGGGUUGUACACCUCUUUUGUCAGGGAGCAACGCCGGCUACGUGUAGCCGGACUGAGAGUACCUGAAGAAAAAGCAUCGGCUAACUCCGUGCCAGCAGCCGCGGUAAUACGGAGGAUGCGAGCGUUAUCCGGAUUUAUUGGGUUUAAAGGGUGCGCAGGCGGAGGUGCAAGUCAGCGGUCAAAUUGCGGGGCUCAACCCCGUACUGCCGUUGAAACUGCAUCCCUUGAGUGCGCGAGAAGUAUGCGGAAUGCGUGGUGUAGCGGCGAAAUGCAUAGAUAUCGCGCAGAGCUCCGAUUGCGAAGGCAGCAUGCCGGCUCCACACUGACGCUGAGGCACGAAAGCGUGGGUAUCGAACAGGAUUAGAUACCCCCGUA